AGGGCUAACCUUGAACUUAACAUCACUACUAGGGUGGACCAAUUCAAUCAAAAUCCAACAAAGAAAUGCUACUCGUCUAAAUUAAAUCCAUAGUAUGACAAUCCAAAUACACAAGUACUCUAGAAAGAAUUUAAUAAAGCUAGGACCAAAAUGACAAAUUAAAAUCCAAAUACAACCCGAAAAUGUAUUGUCCAUUGCAUGACUAAAUACAGUAAAAUUCAAAUAGUAAAGCUAAUUCAAUAAGGAAAACAUGAGUAGUCUUUUAAGAAUAUGGACUAAUAUUCAGCAAGUUCACAUUUAUUCACAAGUGUCCAAAUUGAUUACAUAACUUCAAAAUGCACUUCACAUGUUAAUGAGGUCCAAGAAGUACCUGAGACAAAAUUUAGAGCUAAAGAAAGAUGAGGAGAUUAACAACAGUAGGAGAAUGUAAAUCAACAAUUCAACACAACAAUUCCAGCUUCUUUAGAUCAUUUUUGGACCAGAAAUCCUUUUAAAGUUUCACCUAUUGCUAAUAAUGAAAUCAAGGGCCAAUUCCCAACAAUUUUCGACCCAAAAAGAUGCAGAAUAUUUUUGUUUUUUCAAGGUGUGAAUGGCUGCCCAAAAAUGAAGGGAAAAAGGUCUUUAUAUAGGCAUGCCUAAGGCAGCCCUAGCCUAGCUAACCCAUUCCCUUUCUACCCCUUCUUUUCUUGGGCAUUUUACCCUUUUUACCCUUUUAAAAUAUCUGACCCUCCCUUAUCUCUUAACAAGCCAGGUCUAAACUUAUCCUCUAGAAGCUCCCCCCCCCCCAACAUAAAAAGAUUCCCCCAACCCUCAAAUACCUAAAGCACCCUUGAUACCUUGAAUACUAAAAUGAACGGCCUUUUUGAAACAAGUCAGAGAUGACCAAAAAACCCAAGGUUGAACUUAAACCAACCAAACUGAGCAUUGAGGCUCAAGUCCUGGCCCAGACUGAACUAAAGUUGAAUUGAAAGAAAAGGACAAAGAAGAAAAGAGUCGGAAUAAAGAAAAAAGAAAUCUGAUUCAAACAAGCACUUUAAUAAGAUAAGUACUAGUUCAAAAUUACUGACUAUCCCGAAAUAAAUUCGGCCAAACCGAAUCCUAAUCAUGUGAUUAAACAGUUAGAAUUACUGAUUUUAAACGAACUAAAACUAAUUCAAACAAACAAUAAACAAGAAUCAGAAAAACAAACACGAAGAAAGAAAAGGAAAAGGAAUGGUACUGGUUUUAGCCGGAAUAAAUCGACGAAUGAAGAGACUCGACGGAGGUGACGAACUUGGCCGGGUGUCAGUGGUCUGGUCAGAAGCCGGUGACCCUCAAAAUGAGCCAAGACUUUCGUUAAUCAAUUAUUCUUAACGAGAACAAUCGCUUGACACAAGUCUCGAGUCAGAUCGAGCCUUGGAAGCAUAAUAAAAUCGGAAUUAAGGGCGGCUUAAGUUUUUUUUUUUAAUUUCAUAUUUGAGAUUAAAGAGAAAAGGUGGGGAUUUUGGGGGAAUUGGUGUUGGAUUAAUAUUCAAAGGGGUUUGGGGAUUGUGGAGGAGGAAUUUGGAAGUGAUUGGGUGGUCAGUCGCCGGUGGGGACGAUGGAGGAGUUUAGGGCGGCGGAUUCUAGGGUUCUAAGACGAAGAAGGGACUGAGGGGGUUUGAAGGGUUUGGGGGUAGGUUCAGAUAUAUAUAUGGGGAUGGGUAGGUUAGUUCCCACACGUUAGAUUUAAG
RNAcentral lists this long non-coding RNA (1712 nucleotides) under Nicotiana tabacum (common tobacco). RNAcentral describes it as "long non-coding RNA (NTAB_LNC012580)". Lineage: Eukaryota; Viridiplantae; Streptophyta; Magnoliopsida; Solanales; Solanaceae. The record is from RNAcentral.